CGUGGUUUGAUGUGCUUUCGCGAAAUAGUGUAUAAGAAGUGUCCAUGUUAGCCUAUUCAUUUGAUCUUCACGAUUACAGUUUAUCUACCUUAAGGAGGCUCGGAGGUUAAAAUAUUUUAGAAAAGAAUUAAUCAUUUUUCGUCUUUAUUACAAAUUUUAUUUAUUACUUUAUAAGUUGUUACUUUAUCAAUAUGGUACAAAAG
RNAcentral lists this long non-coding RNA (203 nucleotides) under Mytilus galloprovincialis (Mediterranean mussel). The record is from RNAcentral. Lineage: Eukaryota; Metazoa; Mollusca; Bivalvia; Mytilida; Mytilidae.